Molecule: ribosomal RNA, 464 nt
Filed under: uncultured bacterium
Lineage: Bacteria
Description: partial 16S ribosomal RNA
Rfam family: Bacterial small subunit ribosomal RNA
Source: RNAcentral
GACGAACGCUGGCGGCGUGCUUAACACAUGCAAGUCGAACGGAAAGGCCCUGUUUGCAGGGUACUCGAGUGGCGAACGGGUGAGUAACACGUGGGUGAGCUGCCCUGCACUUAGGGAUAAGCCUGAGAAACUGGGUCUAAUACCGGAUAGGUGCCAUUUUUAGAGUGAUGGUUGGAAAGUUUUUUCGGUGUAGGAUGCGCUCGCGGCCUAUCAGCCUGUGGGUUGGGUAAUGGCCUACAAAGGCGGCGACGGGUAGCCGGCUUGAGAGGGUGCACGGCCACAUUGGGACUGAGAUACCGCCCAGACUCCUACGGGAGGCAGCAGUGGGGAAUAUUGCACGAUGGGCGGAAUCAUGAUGCAGCGACGCCGCGUCGUGGAUGACGGCCUUCGGGUUGUAAACUUCUUUCGCUAGGGACGAAGCUUUUGUGACGGUACCUAGACAAGAAGCACCGUCUAACUACGUG